GUUAAUUCUUUUCUUCUUUUUCCUCUCUUGAAUCCAGGUUUCCCUUUUCUCUAUUCUUUCCGUCAAUCUCUUAUUUCUCAUUCUUCUUUCCAUUCUUCUUUAUAAUUUCCUGGGAUUUUGUUCACUAGGAAACCAAAGAAAUUUCUUGAUUCUUGAUUUCUUUCUUGCAUAAAACUCCUUCCCAUUUGAUUACUUGAAAUCCCAUUUGAUUACAUAAAAUUUUUACCAUGUAUUAUAUACCCUUCUCA
RNAcentral lists this unclassified non-coding RNA (248 nucleotides) under Hevea brasiliensis (rubber tree). The record is from RNAcentral. Lineage: Eukaryota; Viridiplantae; Streptophyta; Magnoliopsida; Malpighiales; Euphorbiaceae.